GACGAACGCUGGCGGCGUGCUUAACACAUGCAAGUCGAGCGGUAAGGCCCUUUCGGGGGUACACGAGCGGCGAACGGGUGAGUAACACGUGGGUGACCUGCCCUCAGCUCUGGGAUAAGCCUGGGAAACCGGGUCUAAUACUGGAUAUGACUCCAUGACGCAUGUUGUGGGGUGGAAAGCCUUGUGCGGCUGAGGAUGGGCCCGCGGCCUAUCAGCUUGUUGGUGGGGUGANGGCCUACCAAGGCGACGACGGGUAGCCGGCCUGAGAGGGCGACCGGCCACACUGGGACUGAGACACGGCCCAGACUCCUACGGGAGGCAGCAGUGGGGAAUCUUGCGCAAUGGGCGAAAGCCCUGACGCAGCGACGCCGCGUGAGGGAUGACGG
This 386-nucleotide ribosomal RNA is filed under the name uncultured bacterium. RNAcentral describes it as "bacterial SSU rRNA". It matches the Rfam family "Bacterial small subunit ribosomal RNA", at positions 28 to 414 of the family's 1533-position model. The record is from RNAcentral.